Molecule: ribosomal RNA, 2519 nt
Filed under: Staphylococcus capitis
Lineage: Bacteria; Bacillati; Bacillota; Bacilli; Caryophanales; Staphylococcaceae
Description: partial 23S ribosomal RNA
Rfam family: Bacterial large subunit ribosomal RNA
Source: RNAcentral
UGAGUGGAUCCUGAGUACGACGGAGCACGUGAAAUUCCGUCGGAAUCUAGGAGGACCAUCUCCUAAGGCUAAAUACUCUCUAGUGACCGAUAGUGAACCAGUACCGUGAGGGAAAGGUGAAAAGUACCCCGGAAGGGGAGUGAAAGAGAACUUGAAACCGUGUGCUUACAAGUAGUCAGAGCCCGUUUAUGGGUGAUGGCGUGCCUUUUGUAGAAUGAACCGGCGAGUUACGAUCUGAUGCAAGGUUAAGCAGCGAAUGUGGAGCCGUAGCGAAAGCGAGUCUGAAUAGGGCGUUGAGUAUUUGGUCGUAGACCCGAAACCAGGUGAUCUACCCUUGGUCAGGUUGAAGUUCAGGUAACACUGAAUGGAGGACCGAACCGACUUACGUUGAAAAGUGAGCGGAUGAACUGAGGGUAGCGGAGAAAUUCCAAUCGAACUUGGAGAUAGCUGGUUCUCUCCGAAAUAGCUUUAGGGCUAGCCUCAAGUGAUGAUUAUUGGAGGUAGAGCACUGUUUGGACGAGGGGCCCCUCUCGGGUUACCGAAUUCAGACAAACUCCGAAUGCCAAUCAAUUUAACUUGGGAGUCAGAACAUGGGUGAUAAGGUCCGUGUUCGAAAGGGAAACAGCCCAGACCACCAGCUAAGGUCCCAAAAUAUAUGUUAAGUGGAAAAGGAUGUGGCGUUGCCCAGACAACUAGGAUGUUGGCUUAGAAGCAGCCAUCAUUUAAAGAGUGCGUAAUAGCUCACUAGUCGAGUGACACUGCGCCGAAAAUGUACCGGGGCUAAACAUAUUACCGAAGCUGUGGAUUGUCCUUCGGACAAUGGUAGGAGAGCGUUCUAAGGGCGUUGAAGCAUGAUCGCAAGGACAUGUGGAGCGCUUAGAAGUGAGAAUGCCGGUGUGAGUAGCGAAAGACGGGUGAGAAUCCCGUCCACCGAUUGACUAAGGUUUCCAGAGGAAGGCUCGUCCGCUCUGGGUUAGUCGGGUCCUAAGCUGAGGCCGACAGGCGUAGGCGAUGGAUAACAGGUUGAUAUUCCUGUACCACCUAGUAUCGUUUUAAUCGAUGGGGGGACGCAGUAGGAUAGGCGAAGCGUGCUGUUGGAGUGCACGUCCAAGCAGUAAGGCUGAGUGUUAGGCAAAUCCGGCACUCGUUAGGCUGAGCUGUGAUGGGGAGAGGAAAUUGUUUCCUUGAGUCGUUGAUUUCACACUGCCGAGAAAAGCCUCUAGAUAGAUAACAGGUGCCCGUACCGCAAACCGACACAGGUAGUCAAGAUGAGAAUUCUAAGGUGAGCGAGCGAACUCUCGUUAAGGAACUCGGCAAAAUGACCCCGUAACUUCGGGAGAAGGGGUGCUCUUUAGGGUUCACGCCCAGAAGAGCCGCAGUGAAUAGGCCCAAGCGACUGUUUAUCAAAAACACAGGUCUCUGCUAAACCGUAAGGUGAUGUAUAGGGGCUGACGCCUGCCCGGUGCUGGAAGGUUAAGAGGAGUGGUUAGCUUCUGCGAAGCCACGAAUCGAAGCCCCAGUAAACGGCGGCCGUAACUAUAACGGUCCUAAGGUAGCGAAAUUCCUUGUCGGGUAAGUUCCGACCCGCACGAAAGGCGUAACGAUUUGGGCACUGUCUCAACGAGAGACUCGGUGAAAUCAUAGUACCUGUGAAGAUGCAGGUUACCCGCGACAGGACGGAAAGACCCCGUGGAGCUUUACUGUAGCCUGAUAUUGAAAUUCGGCACAGCUUGUACAGGAUAGGUAGGAGCCAUUGAAACGUGAGCGCUAGCUUACGUGGAGGCGUUGGUGGGAUACUACCCUAGCUGUGUUGGCUUUCUAACCCGCACCACUUAUCGUGGUGGGAGACAGUGUCAGGCGGGCAGUUUGACUGGGGCGGUCGCCUCCUAAAAGGUAACGGAGGCGCUCAAAGGUUCCCUCAGAAUGGUUGGAAAUCAUUCACAGAGUGUAAAGGCAUAAGGGAGCUUGACUGCGAGACCUACAAGUCGAGCAGGGUCGAAAGACGGACUUAGUGAUCCGGUGGUUCCGCAUGGAAGGGCCAUCGCUCAACGGAUAAAAGCUACCCCGGGGAUAACAGGCUUAUCUCCCCCAAGAGUUCACAUCGACGGGGAGGUUUGGCACCUCGAUGUCGGCUCAUCGCAUCCUGGGGCUGUAGUCGGUCCCAAGGGUUGGGCUGUUCGCCCAUUAAAGCGGUACGCGAGCUGGGUUCAGAACGUCGUGAGACAGUUCGGUCCCUAUCCGUCGUGGGCGUAGGAAAUUUGAGAGGAGCUGUCCUUAGUACGAGAGGACCGGGAUGGACAUACCUCUGGUGUACCAGUUGUCGUGCCAACGGCAUAGCUGGGUAGCUAUGUAUGGACGGGAUAAGUGCUGAAAGCAUCUAAGCAUGAAGCCCCCCUCAAGAUGAGAUUUCCCAACUUCGGUUAUAAGAUCCCUCGAAGAUGACGAGGUUAAUAGGUUCGAGGUGGAAGCGUGGUGACACGUGGAGCUGACGAAUACUAAUCGAUCGAAGACUUAAUCAA